GAUGAACGCUGACAGAAUGCUUAACACAUGCAAGUCGAUGGGGAAGUGGUGCUUGCACCAUGGCAACCAUGGCGGACGGGUGAGUAACGCGUAAGGGACUUACCUGCAGGACUGGGAUAACAGGGGGAAACUCCUGACAAGACCGGAUAAUGUCAUGGAGCUGCAUGGCUUUAUGAUGAAAGGAGACGCUUGCGGAGAGCCUUGCGUUCUAUUAGCUAGUUGGUGAGGUAAUGGCUCACCAAGGCGUAGAUAGGUAGCCGGCCUGAGAGGGAGGACGGCCACAAGGGGACUGAGAUACGGCCCAUACUCCUACGGGAGGCAGCAGUGGGGAAUAUUGGACAAUGGGGGCAACGCUGAUACGGCAAUUCUGUGGGCACGAAGAAGGUUUUCGGAUUGUAAAGUGCUUUCAGCAAGGAAGAAGUAAGUGACGGUACCUGCAGAAGAAGCGACGGCUAAAUACGUG
Molecule: ribosomal RNA, 463 nt
Filed under: uncultured bacterium
Lineage: Bacteria
Description: partial 16S ribosomal RNA
Rfam family: Bacterial small subunit ribosomal RNA
Source: RNAcentral